Molecule: ribosomal RNA, 253 nt
Filed under: uncultured bacterium
Lineage: Bacteria
Description: partial 16S ribosomal RNA
Rfam family: Bacterial small subunit ribosomal RNA
Source: RNAcentral
UACGGAGGGGGCUAGCGUUGUUCGGAAUUACUGGGCGUAAAGCGUACGUAGGCGGCUUUGUAAGUUAGAGGUGAAAGCCUGGAGCUCAACUCCAGAACUGCCUUUAAGACUGCAUCGCUUGAAUCCAGGAGAGGUGAGUGGAAUUCCGAGUGUAGAGGUGAAAUUCGUAGAUAUUCGGAAGAACACCAGUGGCGAAGGCGGCUCACUGGACCGGCAUUGACGCUGAGGUGCGAAAGCGUGGGGAGCAAACAGG